ACUCGGGAGGCUGAGGCAGGAGAAUCGCUUGAACCCGGGAGGUGGAGGUUGCAGUGAGCCAAGAUCACACCACUGCACUCCAGCCUGGGCAACAGAGCAAGACUCCAUCUCGGUGUUGCGGGGAGGCGGGGGGAAGAAAAAAAAAAAAGGAACAAACCAGGAAUGUGGAACGUGGGGCUUGGCCUCUUCUGUACUUCUUUAUCCUUCAGAUCUACCUGCCUGUCCCAGGGCUGGUUGUGUGUGCAUGUCGCAGGUGGGGUCUAGAGCUUCCUAUGCGUGAAUGGGACAGCCAUCUGAUUCCCAGAAGAUGUAUUAACACCCUUAUGGCUACAGAUCCAAAACCACAUUCCCCAAUUGGUUUUAUUAGUAAAACCAAUUACAUUUGAUUUAAAACAAAAGCAAAUGUAAAUCACUAAAUACAGUGCCUGCUAGAGAGUAAACACACUGUAAGUAACAGCUGGUAUAACUAUUUCUGGACCCUAGUAUGACUAUCAGGCCAAGCACUUUCAACUUUUUUUUUUUUGAAAUGGGCUCUCUCUGUCGCCCAGGCUGCAUGAUCUCCACUCACUGCAACCUCCGCCGCCCAGGAUCAAGCAAUCUUCCCACCUCAGCCUCCAGAGUAGCUGAGAUUACAGGCAUGC
Molecule: long non-coding RNA, 641 nt
Filed under: Homo sapiens (human)
Lineage: Eukaryota; Metazoa; Chordata; Mammalia; Primates; Hominidae
Description: HSALNT0176251
Source: RNAcentral